This 200-nucleotide ribosomal RNA is filed under the name uncultured bacterium. RNAcentral's name for it is "partial 16S ribosomal RNA". It matches the Rfam family "Bacterial small subunit ribosomal RNA", at positions 8 to 216 of the family's 1533-position model. The record is from RNAcentral.
AGAGUUUGAUCCUGGCUCAGGAUGAACGCUAGCGGCGGGCCUAAUACAUGCAAGUCGAGCGGUGGUAGCAAUACCAUAGCGGCGGACGGGUGCGUAACGCGUAAGCAAUCUACCUUCCGGCGGGGGACAACGUUUCGAAAGAGACGCUAAUACCGCAUAACACUAGUGGAACCGCAUGGUUUUAUAGUUAAAGAUUCAUC